UACAUAGUCCCUCCGUCCAGAAUUACUUGUCGCAGAGAUGAAUAAAAAUGGAUGUAUCUAGAACUAAAAUAUGUCCAGAUACAUUCAUAUCUCCGACAAGUAAUUCCGGACGGAGUGAUUAUUUA
Molecule: non-coding RNA, 125 nt
Organism: Triticum aestivum (bread wheat)
Lineage: Eukaryota; Viridiplantae; Streptophyta; Magnoliopsida; Poales; Poaceae
Source: Rfam